This 204-nucleotide ribosomal RNA is filed under the name uncultured microorganism. RNAcentral describes it as "partial 16S ribosomal RNA". It matches the Rfam family "Archaeal small subunit ribosomal RNA", at positions 330 to 534 of the family's 1478-position model. The record is from RNAcentral.
GCGCAGCAGUCGAGAAUCCUUUACAAUGUCUUCACGGACGAUAGGGGAAUCCUGAGUGCUCUAGCAUUGCUAGAGCUUUUGCUUACUGAAAAAAGGUAGGCGAAUAAGUGGUGGGUAAGACGGGUGCCAGCCGCCGCGGGUAAUACCCGCGCCACAAGUGGUGACCACGUUUAUUGGGUCUAAAGCGUUCGUAGCCGGCCUGAU